GGGGCCGAUUAGGAUUCGACGCCGGUAGCGAAACUCUAGGUGCAUGCCGAGUUGGUAACAGAACUCGUAAAUCCACUGUUGCAACUUUCUAUAGUUGCCAAUGACGAUAACUUCAAGGGCCAAGCUCUCGCUGCUUAAUUGCAGCUGACAAGUCCUUCUGGUAGCUUCGGCUCCAGCAAUCAUCAGGGGAUGCCUGUAAACCCGAAAUGAUUGUCAUACAGAACAGGAUCGUCGUGCAGCACGUUGGGGGCGAAGCGACUAAAACUUACCCAACUCAUCCAAAGCACCCUGCCCGUCGGGCGGCUGCGGAUUAAAUCAGUAGACACGGCUAAGCAUGUAGUACCGACAGCGGAGUACUGGCGGACGGGGGUUCAAAUCCCCCCGGCUCCACCA
RNAcentral lists this transfer-messenger RNA (393 nucleotides) under Pseudomonadaceae. RNAcentral's name for it is "Pseudomonas_E peradeniyensis Standard tmRNA". It matches the Rfam family "transfer-messenger RNA". Rfam says of the family: Bacterial tmRNA, also known as 10Sa RNA or SsrA, is named for its dual tRNA and mRNA-like properties. Its role is to liberate the mRNA from a stalled ribosome. The record is from RNAcentral. Lineage: Bacteria; Pseudomonadati; Pseudomonadota; Gammaproteobacteria; Pseudomonadales. RNAcentral also lists the same sequence under 1 other name.